AUGCAGUUUCUCAGCUACGGGAGCUUGUCGCCCACGCCCAUCACCGCGACCCAGGCGGAGUUGGAGGCGGAGGCGAUUCUCAAGGGCAAGGCGGAGGCGGACAUCAUCAAGGCCAAGUCGGAGGUGGAGAAGGAGGAGGUGUCCCUCAAGGACACGGCGGUGGAGGAGACGGCGUUCAUCGUCAAGGCCAAGGCGGAGGAGGAGGCGGUGAUGGGACUGAAGGGCGCCGAUGCGACCUCGGACUCGGAGGUGGAGGACUUGUACGACAACUGCCCCUACGACUCAGACGAUGAUCCAGACACCGUGUGCGCCAAGCUCGCUGCAUGGUACGAGGAGCAGGUCAGGAAGCGGCAUGCUCGCCUUCCCUGGUUGAAGUAUGACUCCGCCGCCGAUAUCCUCAAGAUGCAUGGGGAGGCUUCCGCUUUGUACAACGGGCAGCAGCCCGUGGCUGAUGAUGGGGUUGCUCCAGUGGUACCAGUCUGA
RNAcentral lists this ribosomal RNA (483 nucleotides) under Triticum aestivum (bread wheat). RNAcentral describes it as "partial small subunit ribosomal RNA". The record is from RNAcentral. Lineage: Eukaryota; Viridiplantae; Streptophyta; Magnoliopsida; Poales; Poaceae.